UUGUUGGGGUCUAAAGUGUGGCCCGCAGGAACAUUCUUUUACCAAAACAUAAUUAGGUAAACUUUUUACAGUUUGGUGGAAAAAAUAAUAAGAGUUUAAUUGGAUUAUUUUAAUAAUUUAUUGUUUUUACUUAUUUUAACAGCAACCGAUAUUUUGUCCUGAGUUUCUGGACAGCCUUCACUAAUCCAUCCAUCCUUUUUUUCUAUAACCGCUGCUUCCAUACAGGGUCGCGGGGGAGCUGGUGCCUAUCUCCAGCAGUCUACGGGUGAGAUGCAGGGUACAUCCUGGACAGGUCGCCAAUCCAUCACAGGGCUAACAACAAUGCAUACUCCCAUUCACACCUAAGGGCAAUUUAGAGAGGCCAAUCAACCUAACAUGUUUUUGAGAUGUGGGAAGCUGGAGUACCCAGAGAGAACCCACGCAUGCACGGGGUGAACAUGCAAACUCCGCACAGAAAGACCCGGGCCGGGAGUCGAUCCCAGGACCUUCUUGCUGCAAGACAACAGUGCUACUAACUGUGUCACUGUGCAGCCCUUCCUAAUCCAUUACAAGGGACUACUGUUACAAAAAGACCAUCUUAGUUUACUGAGGAUCCUUGCACAGGGAGCUUGUGUCAGGAUCUCUCUCUGUCGGGAUAAGUUGAGAAAUCACGCUGACCCAUAGAAGCAGAAGCUGGAGCUGAGACGUAGAAAAGACGGAGCAGAAGCUGAAGAGUCAUACUGACCUUCAGCAAAAGCAGGAGCUGAAGCAUCUGGCUGACCUUCAGCGGAAGGAGCAGCUGAAGUGUCAAGCUGGACAUCAGCAGGGGCUGAAGCACUCUUAAAACUCAAGGGUUCUUCAGGUUCCCCUGCCGGCCUCCAAGGAUCCUGAUUUGAGACCGAAACUUCCAGACCAAGUUUACAGAGGGUCCUCUACGCACCGUGGUUGGCCACCAGACGACCUGCUCCUUUGUCGCCGGCCUCCAAACCAUAUGCUCCUUCGCCACAGCCUCCAGACCCUCGUCACUGUCGCAGACCUCCUGGACUCCUACUCAGUCGUCGCUGCCCUCCUAGAGGUCCCUGUCAUCGCUACCGGCAUCAGCUGCCAAGAUCUCUACACCUCUGGUCUCAUGAACUCUGUGCUUCCUCGGGACAACCUCCAACCCAUCCACCUGAAGUCUGUUUCUGCUCGGGACGACCCCGAAAGCCAUCCACCUGAAGUCUGUUCCUGCUGUGUCUCUUCGGGACGACUUUACGACCGUCUUCCUGAACAAUGGCCCCCUCCGCCUGCCCUGGUCAGGUUGUUUUAAGUUCUUGAUUCUUUUAUUUUGUUGGCUCUGAAGAGCGUCUUGGAUCCGCCCUUAAAGGGGAGAUAAUGUCAGGAUCUGUCUUUGUUAGGUUUUGGUGUUUAGCUGGUUUCUCUGUAAUUCUCUGUCUGUGUUUUUUAAGUUACUGUUCAUAUUGGAUUAGGCUCAUGAUUUAUUCUUGUGUUUAGACUACUUUCUGGAUUCCUGUGUUGAGUUGGUUUAUACUUUCCUUAUAGAUCUAGUUCCCCCUUGUUAAUGUUCUUUAGUUAGUCUCAUUGUUUAUUUACUCCAGUUCAUUUCGAUGUUUUUCUGUAACCUCCCUGUACUCCCUGCUCAUUUGUGUUAAUUAGUCUCUCUCCCUCAGUAUUCCUUAGGCUCCCUUCUGUCCCUGCUGAUUCUGUCCCUGAUUAGCCUUCUCAGUUCAUUGGUACUCCACUUCCCCCAAUAUUUACACUUUCUGGUUUGUAUUGUUUCCCACUGAUUCCUCCUAAUGUCUACCCUGAAACUGUUCACAACCCUGUUUGCUAUCCUGGAUUCCACCGCGCCCAUGUUCAGUGU
Molecule: long non-coding RNA, 1843 nt
Organism: Girardinichthys multiradiatus
Lineage: Eukaryota; Metazoa; Chordata; Actinopteri; Cyprinodontiformes; Goodeidae
Exons: 3
Source: RefSeq, a predicted model, not a curated record